UAUAAUGGGUCAGCGACUUAUAUUCUGUAGCAAGGUUAACCGUAUAGGGGAGCCGCAGGGAAACCGAGUCUUAACUGGGCGUUAAGUUGCAGGGUAUAGACCCGAAACCCGGUGAUCUAGCCAUGGGCAGGUUGAAGGUUGGGUAACACUAACUGGAGGACCGAACCGACUAAUGUUGAAAAAUUAGCGGAUGACUUGUGGCUGGGGGUGAAAGGCCAAUCAAACCGGGAGAUAGCUGGUUCUCCCCGAAAGCUAUUUAGGUAGCGCCUCGUGAACUCAUCUUCGGGGGUAGAGCACUGUUUCGGCUAGGGGGUCAUCCCGACUUACCAACCCGAUGCAAACUACGAAUACCGAAGAAUGUUAUCACGGGAGACACACGGCGGGUGCUAACGUCCGUCGUGAAGAGGGAAACAACCCAGACCGCCAGCUAAGGUCCCAAAGUCAUGGUUAAGUGGGAAACGAUGUGGGAAGGCACAGACAGCCAGGAUGUUGGCUUAGAAGCAGCCAUCAUUUAAAGAAAGCGUAAUAGCUCACUGGUCGAGUCGGCCUGCGCGGAAGAUGUAACGGGGCUAAACCAUGCAC
RNAcentral lists this ribosomal RNA (582 nucleotides) under Klebsiella variicola. Its description in RNAcentral is "partial 23S ribosomal RNA". It matches the Rfam family "Bacterial large subunit ribosomal RNA", at positions 611 to 1194 of the family's 2925-position model. Lineage: Bacteria; Pseudomonadati; Pseudomonadota; Gammaproteobacteria; Enterobacterales; Enterobacteriaceae. The record is from RNAcentral. RNAcentral also lists the same sequence under 2 other names.